AGCGGGAUCGUCGAGACCGGCUGAGACGUGUUCUUUCCUACUCAUAACCCAGAGGUCGCAGGUUCAAAUCCUGCCCCCGCUA
Molecule: transfer RNA, 82 nt
Filed under: Kribbella soli
Lineage: Bacteria; Bacillati; Actinomycetota; Actinomycetes; Propionibacteriales; Kribbellaceae
Description: tRNA-OTHER
Rfam family: tRNA
About the family: Transfer RNA (tRNA) molecules are approximately 80 nucleotides in length.
Source: RNAcentral